GACGGAGGGUGCAAGCGUUAUCCGGAUUUACUGGGUUUAAAGGGUGCGUAGGCUGUUUAGUAAGUCGAUAGUGAAAACCAGCAGCUUAACUGUUGGCCUGCUAUUGAUACUGCUAGACUAGAGUAUAGUAGAGGUAAGUGGAAUUUUACAUGGAGCAGUAAAAUGCGUAGAUAUGUAGAGGAACGCCAAUAACGAAGGUAACUUACUGGGCUAUUACUGACGCUGAGGCACGAAAGCGUGGGGAGCAAACAGG
Molecule: ribosomal RNA, 253 nt
Filed under: uncultured bacterium
Lineage: Bacteria
Description: partial 16S ribosomal RNA
Rfam family: Bacterial small subunit ribosomal RNA
Source: RNAcentral